This 599-nucleotide ribosomal RNA is filed under the name Streptococcus mutans. Its description in RNAcentral is "bacterial SSU rRNA". It matches the Rfam family "Bacterial small subunit ribosomal RNA", at positions 368 to 958 of the family's 1533-position model. Lineage: Bacteria; Bacillati; Bacillota; Bacilli; Lactobacillales; Streptococcaceae. The record is from RNAcentral.
GCAAUGGACGAAAGUCUGACCGAGCAACGCCGCGUGAGUGAAGAAGGUUUUCGGAUCGUAAAGCUCUGUUGUAAGUCAAGAACGUGUGUGAGAGUGGAAAGUUCACACAGUGACGGUAGCUUACCAGAAAGGGACGGCUAACUACGUGCCAGCAGCCGCGGUAAUACGUAGGUCCCGAGCGUUGUCCGGAUUUAUUGGGCGUAAAGGGAGCGCAGGCGGUCAGGAAAGUCUGGAGUAAAAGGCUAUGGCUCAACCAUAGUGUGCUCUGGAAACUGUCUGACUUGAGUGCAGAAGGGGAGAGUGGAAUUCCAUGUGUAGCGGUGAAAUGCGUAGAUAUAUGGAGGAACACCAGUGGCGAAAGCGGCUCUCUGGUCUGUCACUGACGCUGAGGCUCGAAAGCGUGGGUAGCGAACAGGAUUAGAUACCCUGGUAGUCCACGCCGUAAACAAUGAGUGCUAGGUGUUAGGCCCUUUCCGGGGCUUAGUGCCGGAGCUAACGCAAUAAGCACUCCGCCUGGGGAGUACGACCGCAAGGUUGAAACUCAAAGGAAUUGACGGGGGCCCGCACAAGCGGUGGAGCAUGUGGUUUAAUUCGAAGCA